AGUAACGCGUGGGUAACCUGCCUUAUACAGGGGGAUAACAGUUGGAAACGGCUGCUAAUACCGCAUAAGCGCACGGCAUCGCAUGAUGCAGUGUGAAGAACUCCGGUGGUAUAAGAUGGACCCGCGUUGGAUUAGCUAGUUGGUGAGGUAACGGCCCACCAAGGCGACGAUCCAUAGCCGACCUGAGAGGGUGACCGGCCACAUUGGGACUGAGACACGGCCCAA
RNAcentral lists this ribosomal RNA (225 nucleotides) under uncultured bacterium. Its description in RNAcentral is "partial 16S ribosomal RNA". It matches the Rfam family "Bacterial small subunit ribosomal RNA", at positions 109 to 334 of the family's 1533-position model. The record is from RNAcentral.